CUUCUCUACCAUACUAUUUUGAAGAAAGAGAACUUCCUCUUUCCGAAUAUGUGUAAUUGGGUCAGAUGGUGUAUGUCUCCAUUAAUGGUUUAGCUGAGAUUGGGUGGAUGUGUUUGAUGCAAAUCUACCAACUGUCUCUGCAUACUGUGCAUUGUUUUGCAUUGUGGAGCCAUCUCUGAACAUGAGCUGCUUUCCUUUGGGAAGAAACUAAGCUGGAAAAUAGGCUUCAGAUGUAUGCACAGUUUGUUCUUACUUUAAAUGAUCGUUUGUUCCACGGAGACAGACUAGGGCUAAUCUGAAGAUAAAAAUGGUUAAAUGCACAUAGGGCAUAUGGAGUGUCCAGCUACAUGUGUUUUGUUCUGUGUAUACUUUUUUCAGUGAAUACAGUAUGAUAAUAUAUGGAUAGCCUUUACAGUCUCUCUUGUGCAAUACAUUCAUAUUGCUAGACAUCUCCCUGAAUUUUGUUCAAGAAAUAUAAAAGUAUGUGUUGGAAUAAAGGAUACAGAAUUAUAAGAUAUGUAUGACCUAAGGGGAGAGCAAGAAAGAUGUACAGUAUGGAUAGCCUGAGGUAUGUUUUUAAAACCCAGAUAUGUGCUACAGAGAGCAGCCUGUCCUGCUUUUGCAUAGAUUAAAUCUUGCAAGCACAGGAGACAUUAGCAAACAUCUGUAGACGGCCAUUUACAGCAGUUCAGGUCCUGUACACCCUAGAUAGUAAAUUCAGCAGAAUUAAGAGCUAGUUAUUAAGUUUAAUCACCAAUGUUUGUAGAGCGGAUUAGUGCUGUUGGGUACCACUGAUGUAGAUAUUAGAUAUACCACCAGUGACGUACCUUGAUUUCUC
Molecule: long non-coding RNA, 838 nt
Filed under: Gallus gallus (chicken)
Lineage: Eukaryota; Metazoa; Chordata; Aves; Galliformes; Phasianidae
Source: RNAcentral